UAGGGAAUAUUGCACAAUGGAGGAAACUCUGAUGCAGCGACGCCGCGUGAGUGAUGAAGGCCUUCGGGUUGUAAAGCUCUGUCGCAUGGGAAUAAGAAAGUGAAUGUACUAUGCAAGAAAGGAUCGGCUAACUUCGUGCCAGCAGCCGCGGUAAGACGAGGGAUCCUAGCGUUGUUCGGAAUCAUUGGGCGUAAAGCGGGUGCAUGUGGCUCUAUAAGUCAGGUGUGAAAUCCCAGGGCUCAACCCUGGAAGUGCAUUUGAUACUGUAGAGCUUGAGUGCUGGAGAGGUAAGUAGAAUUCCUGGUGUAGUGGUGAAAUACGUAGAUAUCAGGAGGAAUACCGGAGGCGAAGGCGGCUUACUGGCCAGACACUGACACUCAGACCCGAAAGCGUGGGGAUC
Molecule: ribosomal RNA, 400 nt
Filed under: uncultured bacterium
Lineage: Bacteria
Description: bacterial SSU rRNA
Rfam family: Bacterial small subunit ribosomal RNA
Source: RNAcentral